Long non-coding RNA from Saccostrea cuccullata (small rock oyster), 200 nucleotides. RefSeq lists it as uncharacterized. The record is from RefSeq and is a predicted model, not a curated record. The transcript has 3 exons. Lineage: Eukaryota; Metazoa; Mollusca; Bivalvia; Ostreida; Ostreidae.
UCAAGGUUCAGGUGUCUCCUGAGCUUUUGGAGCACUAUAAUUCCACAGAUCCUGAUGCUAAAACUCUAGCACAAACACUUAUUGCCCAGGCUGCUCUGGAAAAGUCACAAAUUGAAGUCCAUGGUUCACCAGAAAUGGGUGAUAAGCUUCCAGACAUUACAUCAAUAGACACUGCUGGGCCUAGUGCAUCUGGCACCCCC